Molecule: ribosomal RNA, 795 nt
Filed under: Triticum aestivum (bread wheat)
Lineage: Eukaryota; Viridiplantae; Streptophyta; Magnoliopsida; Poales; Poaceae
Description: partial small subunit ribosomal RNA
Source: RNAcentral
AUGGAGUGCCUUACUAAGAUGAUCAAGAAUGCCCAGAAAAGCAAUCUCAUUGUGGGGCUGGCCUCGGACUUAAUUCCUCAUGGGGUUGCGGUGCUACAAUAUGCAGAUGACACGAUCAUCUGUCUGGAGCAUGAUAUAGAAAAAGCUACCAAUCUUAAACUCCUGUUAUAUAUUUACGAGAUGAUGUCUGGCCUCAAAGUUAAUUUUCAUAAAAGUGAGAUUUUAACUGGGGGGGAUGCCCAGAUUACCAGAGCUUAUGCCGAUCUCUUCAAUUGUGACAUAGGUCAAUUUCCUCUUAAGUAUUUGGGUAUGCCGGUUAGCUUCACAACUCUUAGAAAUUCUAACUGGGAAUUCAUUGUCGACAAAUACCUCCUUAGAUUUGAUGCGUGGGUUGGUAACCCUGCCUGUAUGGGUGGGAGACAUACCCUGUUAGACUCGGUAGUUACUCAGCUAUCUCUGUACCACAUGUCUAUGUGGCUGAUGAACAAAACCUUCGUGGAAAGGUUGGAUAAGCAUAGGAGGAGAUUCUUCUGGCAGGGGUGCAACAAGAAAUGGAGAUACCACCUGGUCAGAUGGAAUAGAAUCUGCAGAUAUAAAGAUAAGGGUGGGCUUGGAGUUAAAGAUUUACGCAAGCAGAAUAUUAGCCUUAUGCUUAAGUGGUGGUGGAAGUUAGACACCCAGAAUGGGAUCUGGCAAGAUAUUGUCAGGGCUAGAUACUUGCGUGAUCAAACUAUUGUCACCGUGGGGCCUCGUUUCUCUGACUCACCCUGCUGGAAAAAACCUGCUGAAAAUUAA